CAUACUUUCACUAGUGGCAACUCCCAACAACAUUAACAUAAUCUAAUCACAUGAUAUUUCUACUAAAACAUGCAAUGGGACGUACUUGGAGGUCAUUCCUUUCUAAUCAAGAGAGGACGAGAAUUAUGUAGGGCUACAAAAGCACACCUCAGAAUUCGUAUUUCUCAUCUAUGGAUUUCUCAAUGUCACCGCGGCCAUCCAAAGAGAGUACCACAAUCACCACAACACAUCUCAAGGAUAGUCAAAGACAAGCACCAAGAGACUCUCAAUCUUCAAUCAAUUCACAAAAGAGGAAAUCACUCAUAAAAAUAUAUUCUUCUAAUCCAUGUCCAAUAGACCGCUAUCACCAUGGUCUUGGGGAUUAUUCUAGAUAAGAUCAAGUAAGUACAUCAAUCCAAUACAUAGAAGAAGGGGAAACAUCAUGGGAUCACCCUAGAUUAACUUAGCCUAUGAUGACAAUCAAGAUCACAUCUUGGGAGAGAGAGAUGACCACAUAGCUAUGCGUAGAAGACCUCAGCCCCGAGGGAGACUACGCACACAUGGCCAUGGUGAGCAAGAGGUUGAUGGAGAGGUCCAGCCCGGAGAGGAGACGACGGCCGACGGCGGCCGUGGCGGCGGCCACGACCCUUGGGGGUGGCGUACUUUGGCCCCCCUUCUUCCUUGGAGAUGGUUCUGGUAUGGAGGUAGUUCUCCAUCCCAAGACGGCUGCUUGGGCGGAGGAAAUCUCGUAGCUCUUGGUGGCCCUCGAGAAAUCAGGUUUUUC
Molecule: long non-coding RNA, 763 nt
Filed under: Hordeum vulgare
Lineage: Eukaryota; Viridiplantae; Streptophyta; Magnoliopsida; Poales; Poaceae
Description: long non-coding RNA (HVUL_LNC008788)
Source: RNAcentral